Molecule: transfer RNA, 68 nt
Filed under: Ctenophorus rufescens
Lineage: Eukaryota; Metazoa; Chordata; Lepidosauria; Squamata; Agamidae
Description: tRNA-Trp
Rfam family: tRNA
About the family: Transfer RNA (tRNA) molecules are approximately 80 nucleotides in length. Their secondary structure includes four short double-helical elements and three loops (D, anti-codon, and T loops).
Source: RNAcentral
AGGAGCUUAGGAUAAACAAACCGAGAGCCUUCAAAGCCCUAAAUAAGAGUUACACCUCUUAGCCCCUG